This 252-nucleotide ribosomal RNA is filed under the name uncultured bacterium. RNAcentral describes it as "partial 16S ribosomal RNA". It matches the Rfam family "Bacterial small subunit ribosomal RNA", at positions 524 to 776 of the family's 1533-position model. The record is from RNAcentral.
UACGGAGGAUGCGAGCGUUAUCCGGAUUUAUUGGGUUUAAAGGGUGCGUAGGCGGUCCGUUAAGUCAGCGGUAAAAUUGCGGGGCUCAACCCCGUCGAGCCGUUGAAACUGUCAGACUUGAGUUGGCGAGAAGUACGCGGAAUGCGCGGUGUAGCGAUGAAAUGCAUAGAUAUCGCGCAGAACUCCGAUUGCGAAGGCAGCGUACCGGCGCCACACUGACGCUGAGGCACGAAAGCGUGGGGAUCGAACAGG